Molecule: long non-coding RNA, 672 nt
Filed under: Lupinus angustifolius (narrow-leaved blue lupine)
Lineage: Eukaryota; Viridiplantae; Streptophyta; Magnoliopsida; Fabales; Fabaceae
Description: long non-coding RNA (LANG_LNC001123)
Source: RNAcentral
AGUUAGACUCCAUAAUAUUUAACAUGAACAAUGUCAUUUAUUUAUACCAAUUUACAUCAAUUCAAAAUCCGCCGUCUCUUUUAAUACAACUUUGAACUAUAUUCUCUAUUGGGAAUGGAGUAUCUCCUGGUAUAAGGAGAUAAAUUAUCUCCUCCUACCAGUGAAAUCAUGAUAUGGUGUCAUGUUUCAUCAUUUUCUAUAAAAAUGUUUUUAAAAACAAACAAAAUAGCACACAUGUCACAUUUUUACUGGCUAUAGGAGAUAACUUAUCUCCUGAUAUGAGAAAAUACAUUAUUCUCUAUUUCAGGAAGAUAAAGCGUGUCCAUUCAAGUUCAAACCCCUUAUCCCCCUUAUAAAUAAAAAGAAAAGGAAAAAAUUGCUUAUAAAUUAAAAAAAUAUAUGUGGGUUCAUUUCUUUACUUCAUGUACUAGUAAGAUAUUGGUGUAUUCUCAUGGUUGCUAUGUUUUACUGGUCAUAGGAAUUGUAAAAAGAGAAUAAUGUAUCUUCUUAUAUCAGGAGAUAACUUAUCUCUUCUAACCUGUAAAAAUGUGACAUAUGUGCUAUUUUGUUUAUUUUUAUAGAAAAUGAUGAAACAUGACACAUGUCAUGAUUUCACUAGUAGAAGGAAAUAAUUUAUCUCCUUAUAUUAGGAAAUACUCCAUUCCCCUUCAA